AUUACUCUAUUCAUAAGAAUGUCCUUAACGAACAAUAUUACUCAACAUACAAAAUCACACGAAAUUAAUUUUGAUAAUUCAUCUAAUAUGCCCAAUGAAAAAUUGAAUUUGAAAUACAAUUACUAUUAUAUUAAAUCUUUAAAAGCAAUAACACAAUUAAUUCAUUUGUUUUUAGCUAUUAUUUGCCUGGCUCUGGUAUUAUCUGUAGAUCAUUAUACAUUCCAUGAUAAUAUUGAUACAUAUUCUAUAUUGGACACAUCAAUUGGUCCAUAUAUUAGAGUUUUUACCUUCAUAUUAGUUUACACACUUUUAUUCACUUCUGUAACAUUAUUUGUUCAUAUGUACAAUAUUCAUGUAUUUAUAAGCCAUGAAAUAAAUCUUAUAAAAUUGGAAAUGACACUAUACAUUAUAUUUACAGUUAUGUAUUUUUUAAUUUCUCCAAUAAUGAUUGGAAGCCUGACAUAUUAUCAUUAUCUAUUUGUUAAUAAAUCAGCAUUUCGGCAAUUAUUGAUAUCUAGUGUAUUGAGUUACCUAUGCAUGAUCACGUGCGCGAUGAUCGCUCUAGUGACGUGGAACCAGAAUUCAAUCCCGGCUUUUUAUUCUUCCAUUAUCAGCCGAGGUCGAAAUUUUAGGAGAUUCUCGAUAUCCACUUUAACCUCCAUAUAAAAGUAAAAUCAAACAUCCCCCCUUUGCCAAUUAGUGAAGAUAAGCAUCCCUAAUUAAACAAAACAGAUACAAACCCAAUAAGUAUUAUUUAAAAAAAAAUCUCACCUUAAUGUAUUUUUUUAUUAUUAUUUAUAUGAUGAUAACAACACUCUUAUCCUAAUGUUUUAUAAUGCAAAAUAUUUGUCGCGAGAAAAUAAAUUUAUAAGUGUAUCGAU
Molecule: long non-coding RNA, 881 nt
Organism: Gordionus sp. m RMFG-2023
Lineage: Eukaryota; Metazoa; Nematomorpha; Gordioida; Chordodea; Parachordodidae
Exons: 4
Source: RefSeq, a predicted model, not a curated record